GUGGGUAGUUUGACUGGGGCGGUCUCCUCCUAAAGAGUAACGGAGGAGCACGAAGGUUAGCUAAUCCUGGUCGGACAUCAGGAGGUUAGUGCAAAGGCAUAAGCUAGCUUGACUGCGAGAGUGACGGCUCGAGCAGGUGCGAAAGCAGGUCUUAGUGAUCCGGUGGUUCUGAAUGGAAGGGCCAUCGCUCAACGGAUAAAAGGUACUCCGGGGAUAACAGGCUGAUACCGCCCAAGAGUUCAUAUCGACGGCGGUGUUUGGCACCUCGAUGUCGGCUCAUCACAUCCUGGGGCUGAAGUAGGUCCCAAGGGUAUGGCUGUUCGCCAUUUAAAGUGGUACGCGAGCUGGGUUUAGAACGUCGUGAGACAGUUCGGUCCCUAUCUGCCGUGGGCGCUGGAGAAUUGAGGGGGGCUGCUCCUAGUACGAGAGGACCGGAGUGGACGCAUCACUGGUGUUCGGGUUGUCAUGCCAAUGGCAUUGCCCGGUAGCUAAAUGCGGAAGAGAUAAGUGCUGAAAGCAUCUAAGCACGAAACUUGCCCCGAGAUGAGUUCUCCCUGAGACUUUAAGUCUCCUGAAGGAACGUUGAAGACGACGACGUUGAUAGGUCGGGUGUGUAAGCGUAGCGAUACGUUGAGCUAACCGAUACUAAUGAACCGUGAGGCUUAACCUU
RNAcentral lists this ribosomal RNA (670 nucleotides) under Citrobacter freundii. RNAcentral describes it as "partial 23S ribosomal RNA". It matches the Rfam family "Bacterial large subunit ribosomal RNA", at positions 2261 to 2925 of the family's 2925-position model. Lineage: Bacteria; Pseudomonadati; Pseudomonadota; Gammaproteobacteria; Enterobacterales; Enterobacteriaceae. The record is from RNAcentral.